Molecule: ribosomal RNA, 226 nt
Filed under: Trypanosoma vegrandis
Lineage: Eukaryota; Euglenozoa; Kinetoplastea; Trypanosomatida; Trypanosomatidae
Description: partial small subunit ribosomal RNA
Rfam family: Eukaryotic small subunit ribosomal RNA
Source: RNAcentral
UUCUNCGGAGGGCAGCAGGCGNGCAAAUUGCCCAAUGUCAAAAAAAAACGAUGAGGCAGCGAAAAGAAAUAGAGCCGGCAGUGCCACUGGCAUUGCCGUUUUCAAUGGGGGAUAUUUAAACCCAUCCAAAAUCGAGUAUCAAUUGGAGGACAAGUCUGGUGCCAGCACCCGCGGUAAUUCCAGCUCCAAAAGCGUAUAUUAAUGCUGUUGCUGUUAAAGGGUUCGA